GUAGCCGGCUUGGUGUGCCUCUCGUAAAAUCCGACGUCUCAAGCGUCGGCCCGCGAGAGAGACUACCAGGCUUGAGGGUGGAAGAGGUCGACGGUAUCUCCGAGGUAGGGGUAAAAUCCACUGAUCUCGGGAAGACCACCAGUGGCGAAGGCGGUCGGCCAGGACACGCCUGACGGUGAGGGACGAAAGCUGGGGGAGCGAACUGGAUUAGAUACCCAGGUAGUCCCAGCUGUAAACAAUGCAGGCUUGGUGUGAGGGUAGCUACGGGCUACCCUCGUGCCGAAGGAAAACCAUUAAGCCUGCCGCCUGGGGAGUACGGCCGCAAGGCUGAAACUUAAAGGAAUUGGCGGGGGAGCACCACAAGGCGUGGACGUUGCGGCUCAAUUGGAGUCAACGCCGGAAACCUUACCGGGAGCGACAGCAGGAUGAUGGCCAGGUUGAAGGCCUUGCCUGACAAGCUGAGAGGAGGUGCAUGGCCGUCGCCAGUGCGUGCCGUGAGGUGUCCUGUCAAUUCAGGCAA
Molecule: ribosomal RNA, 520 nt
Filed under: uncultured archaeon
Lineage: Archaea
Description: bacterial SSU rRNA
Rfam family: Archaeal small subunit ribosomal RNA
Source: RNAcentral